This 396-nucleotide ribosomal RNA is filed under the name Oestophorella buvinieri. Its description in RNAcentral is "partial 16S ribosomal RNA". The stretch from base 1 to 158 matches the Rfam family "Archaeal large subunit ribosomal RNA", at positions 1948 to 2143 of the family's 2987-position model. The record is from RNAcentral. Lineage: Eukaryota; Metazoa; Mollusca; Gastropoda; Stylommatophora; Trissexodontidae.
UUCCUGCUCAAUGAUAUAUUAAAUAGCCGCAGUACACUGACUGUGCAAAGGUAGCAUAAUCAAUUGGCCUAUAAUUGAGGUCUUGUAUGAAUGGAUUUACGGGAAAUUACUGUCUUUUAAGUAAUAAUAAAAAUUAAUUAGUAAGUGUAAAUGCUUACAUAUAAAUAAUAGACGAGAAGACCCUAGAAAUUUUUUAUAAAUAUAUAUUCUAUUAAUUAUUUUGUUGGGGCGACAGAAUAACAAAUAACUUAUUUAAUAGUAUAAAUAGUUUUUCUAAAUAAUUAAUUACUCUAGGGAUAACAGCAUUAUUAAUAUUAGAUUGUGACCUCGAUGUUGGACUAGAGACUUUCUUAUCUAAAAGAUAAUAAAACUGGCUCUGUUCGAGCUUCUUCCUCU